Molecule: ribosomal RNA, 590 nt
Filed under: uncultured bacterium
Lineage: Bacteria
Description: partial 16S ribosomal RNA
Rfam family: Bacterial small subunit ribosomal RNA
Source: RNAcentral
UGGGGAAUAUUGCACAAUGGGCGCAAGCCUGAUGCAGCCAUGCCGCGUGUGUGAAGAAGGCCUUCGGGUUGUAAAGCACUUUCAGCGAGGAGGAAGGUGGUGAACUUAAUACGUUCAUCAAUUGACGUUACUCGCAGAAGAAGCACCGGCUAACUCCGUGCCAGCAGCCGCGGUAAUACGGAGGGUGCAAGCGUUAAUCGGAAUUACUGGGCGUAAAGCGCACGCAGGCGGUUUGUUAAGUCAGAUGUGAAAUCCCCGGGCUCAACCUGGGAACUGCAUUUGAAACUGGCAAGCUAGAGUCUCGUAGAGGGGGGUAGAAUUCCAGGUGUAGCGGUGAAAUGCGUAGAGAUCUGGAGGAAUACCGGUGGCGAAGGCGGCCCCCUGGACGAAGACUGACGCUCAGGUGCGAAAAGCGUGGGGAGCAAACAGGAUUAGAUACCCCUGGUAGUCCACGCUGUAAAACGAUGUCGAUUUUGGAGGUUGUGCCCUUGAGGCGUGGCUUCCGGAGCUAACGCGUUAAAUCGACCGCCUGGGGAGUACGGCCGCAAGGUUAAAACUCAAAGGAAUUGACGGGGUCAUAGCUGUUUCCU